This 459-nucleotide long non-coding RNA is filed under the name Homo sapiens (human). Its description in RNAcentral is "non-protein coding BISPR:22". The record is from RNAcentral. Lineage: Eukaryota; Metazoa; Chordata; Mammalia; Primates; Hominidae.
AGGUUUUCAGUUUCAGUUUCCCAGAAAGGAGGUGGGCUUUUUUUUCACCCUGCUUUAAAAGCCCUUGGGCCCUUCCCAGCUGGGUGCCAGCCAACUGUGGCUGCCUGGGACACUCCAUCUUAAGUCCCUGUGCCUCUGCUGUGUGUUACUGAGUGCCUAGGCCGUGCCAGCCUGUAUUCAUCUGUACUAUGACCUGAAGAGGCAGAGGCCAUCACUGUUGGUCCGGUCUCCACCUGGGGAAACUGAGGUUGCACAGAAACAAGCUCCUACUUCCAGAAAAAGUGCUCCUGGGACUCCAGGAUACCAGGCAUCUGGACGCGGUGGUACAUGCCUGUAAUCCCAACACUUAGGCAGGAGGAUCACUCGAGCCCAGAAGAUCAAGACUAGUGUGAGCAACAAAAUCCUUCCCUGGCACCGGUUCCAGGAGGACCUCGUUCUUAGGCAGCAUCUGUGUCUCUG